CCCGAGACUCAGUGAAAUUGAACUCGCUGUGAAGAUGCAGUGUACCCGCGGCAAGACGGAAAGACCCCGUGAACCUUUACUAUAGCUUGACACUGAACAUUGAGCCUUGAUGUGUAGGAUAGGUGGGAGGUUUAGAAGUGUGGACGCCAGUCUGCAUGGAGCCGACCUUGAAAUACCACCCUUUAAUGUUUGAUGUUCUAACGUUGACCCGUAAUCCGGGUUGCGGACAGUGUCUGGUGGGUAGUUUGACUGGGGCGGUCUCCUCCUAAAGAGUAACGGAGGAGCACGAAGGUUGGCUAAUCCUGGUCGGACAUCAGGAGGUUAGUGCAAUGGCAUAAGCCAGCUUGACUGCGAGCGUGACGGCGCGAGCAGGUGCGAAAGCAGGUCAUAGUGAUCCGGUGGUUCUGAAUGGAAGGGCCAUCGCUCAACGGAUAAAAGGUACUCCGGGGAUAACAGGCUGAUACCGCCCAAGAGUUCAUAUCGACGGCGGUGUUUGGCACCUCGAUGUCGGCUCAUCACAUCCUGGGGCUGAAGUAGGUCCCAAGGGUAUGGCUGUUCGCCAUUUAAAGUGGUACGCGAGCUGGGUUUAGAACGUCGUGAGACAGUUCGGUCCCUAUCUGCCGUGGGCGCUGGAGAACUGAGGGGGGCUGCUCCUAGUACGAGAGGACCGGAGUGGACGCAUCACUGGUGUUCGGGUUGUCAUGCCAAUGGCACUGCCCGGUAGCUAAAUGCGGAAGAGAUAAGUGCUGAAAGCAUCUAAGCACGAAACUUGCCCCGAGAUGAGUUCUCCC
RNAcentral lists this ribosomal RNA (791 nucleotides) under Escherichia coli. Its description in RNAcentral is "bacterial LSU rRNA". It matches the Rfam family "Bacterial large subunit ribosomal RNA", at positions 2025 to 2815 of the family's 2925-position model. The record is from RNAcentral. Lineage: Bacteria; Pseudomonadati; Pseudomonadota; Gammaproteobacteria; Enterobacterales; Enterobacteriaceae.